This 221-nucleotide long non-coding RNA is filed under the name Vigna radiata. RNAcentral's name for it is "long non-coding RNA (VRAD_LNC010151)". Lineage: Eukaryota; Viridiplantae; Streptophyta; Magnoliopsida; Fabales; Fabaceae. The record is from RNAcentral.
UGGACAAGAUUUGGAUUUUUUGGGAAAAUGAAGAAUAAGAGAAAGGUUUUCAACACAAGGCUGACGCGAAUGGCCGCACGUGUGCUUAAACCUUUUGAAAUAAUUUUUGUUUAAUUUUAAAGGAAUAAGAAAAAAAAGGUUUUCAACACAAGGCUGACGCAAGUGGUCGCACAUGUGCUUAAUAAUUUUUUUUUAAUUUUAAAAGAAUAAGAGAAAGGUUU